AAGGAACCUGUUUUUAGAAGGUUUAAAGCAUCUCGUGCCUCUCACGGUUGAGAGGCUGUGAGCAAUCACAUGUGGCCGGACAAGCGUGUCAGGCAGGCUAGAGAACCUUCAGAGGAGUUUGUAGGUUGAAACACUCCUAUCACGCCCAGGAAUUAUUAUUAACUGGAGCUCUAAGUUAAUUCCUUCUCCAAAAGAGGUGGUGGGGGACAGCCCCCCGUAAAGUCAGAGGUGUAGGUGAGAGCACAAAGUAGUAAAGUAGGCAGGUUCUGGUUAUGGGGGUAGAUGCUCAAGGAUUUCCAGGGGGACUCCUGAGGCUCGAUCCCGCCUUUGCGUAUGUCGAGCCUCCUUCCUCAUGACCUUUGUCACGGGCGGAGUACCUCACUCUGGCCCCCAACACCUAUGGGUGGAGGAGCUUUGUGGGCUACAGUCCAUGGGGUUGCAAAGAGUCGGUCAUGUCUUAGCGAUUAAACCACCACCAACCAUAGUUGCUUAAAGCCAUAUGUUUGUGGGGAUGUUAUACAGUAAGAGAGUGUGUGUGUGUGUAUGCGUGUGUGUUAGUUGCUCAGUUGUGUCUGACUCUUCGUGACCCUAUGGACUAUAGCUCCUUAGGCUUCUCUGUCCAUGGAAUUCUCCAGGAAGAUCCCUGGAGAAGGGAAUGGCAAGGGUCUUUCCAGUGAGUGGCCUCUUCGCAAAGAACUGGAGCUUCAGUUUCAGCACCCGUCCUUCCAGUGAAUAUUCAGGGUUGAUUUCUUUUAAGACUGACUGGUUUGAUCUCCUUGUUGUCCUAGGGACUCUGAAGAGUCUUUUCUCCAGCACCACAAUUCGAAAGCAUCAGUUCUUCAGUGCUUAGCCUUCUUUAUGGUCCUCCUCUCAACCCACAGUAACUGAACCAUCUUCAGUCCUACCAGCUAUCCUCCAAGAUGCCCUUCAGAGGUGAAUGGAUAAAUUCCAGUCCAUUCAGACAGUGGAAUAUUAUUCAGCAAGCACUAAGCAAAAAUGAACUCUUAAGCCAUAGAGCAACAUGGAAGAAACUUCAAUGCAAAUGACUAAGAGAAAGAAGCCAAUCUGCAAGGGCUCCACGCUGUACAGUUUCAACUAUGUGACAUUCCGGAAAAGGUAAAAUUAUGGAGACAGUAAAAAUUUCAGUGGUUGCCAGAGGAUGAGGGGAGGGAGGGAUGAACAGGCAGAGUACAGAGGAUUUUAGGGCAAUAAAAUUGUUCUGUAAGACACUAUAAUGAUGUGCAUGCGUGCUUAGUAGCUCAGUCACGUCUGAAUCUUUGCAACCCCUGGACUGAUAGCCGGCCAGGCUCCUCUGUCCAUAGGGAUUCCCCAGUGAAGAAUACUGGAGUGGGUAGUGCUUCUCCAGGGGAUCUUCCUGACCCAGGGAUCGAACCCUUGUCUCUUAGUCUCCUGCAGUGACAGGCGGGUUCUCUACCACUAGCACCAUGGACUCUAGUUCAUAAUGAUAGGUACAGGUGGUACUCAUUUGUCCAAACCCAUAAAAGGGACAACACCCAGAGUGAACCCUAACGUGAAUGAUGGACUCCGAGUGAUAAUGAUGUGUCAGUGUAAGUUCAUCGGCUGUGGCAAACGUCCUGCUCUGGGCAGGGGUGUUGAUAAGGGGGGAGGCUAAGCAUGUGUGAAAGCAGAGGGGUAAAUGGGAAAUCUAAACAUUCUGUUCAGUUUUCUGUGAACUUAUGACUGCUCUUAAGAAAUAAAG
Long non-coding RNA from Bos taurus (domestic cattle), 1720 nucleotides. The record is from Ensembl. Lineage: Eukaryota; Metazoa; Chordata; Mammalia; Artiodactyla; Bovidae.